GGCUUGACCGGGGUUGUGGGGUUUGGAGGGAGCCUACAGAGCUGAAACACCCUUCUUGUCACAUCAUGUUUAAGAUCAACAGAUCCUUUGCCAGAUGCAGAAAAUCCUGUAUUCACAAAAGGCCCCCAGAAAGCAUUUUCUGUGAGUGUGCUGGGGAGGCCGCUCAGGCCCAUGAAGAAUGCUAUCUGUAAGAGCCUUCUCUGUGGCCAUGAGCCACUUGGCAUGGCAGCUCUCCGUUCCGGGGUGUCCUCCACAGCUGGAGUCAGGAGCACAAGCUUGGCUCAAGAACAUAGACUCUGGGCAAGGUGCUGGUGAGAACAGCAGAGCCAGCUGGAGGCUCUGGGAGGAACUCCAUCUGGAAGGAAGCAUGAUGUGUCCAGAGGGCAGCGGGGUCUGGUGGAGUCAAUGCUGGCGAGGGUGUGUGUAUAGUGGCAAGACUCUAGACCAGGGUGCAAAUUCAGGCCAGCAGAUGGAGAAGCUGGAGCUUCCUGGGACUGAACCAGCAGGCAGGAGUCAGUCCAGUUGGGUGGCUUGGGCAGAGAGCAAGGGAAGCAGAAUGCAGAUCUACAUGGGGACCCAGAUUCCUGAGGUGGCUAAAGGUGGUGACUUGGCCCCACAAGCUGGAGCUGGCCAGAGCAGAGCUAUGGCAGAGCUGCCCACCUGGGGCCAGGUGGGCUGAGGACAGAGCAGCCUCCUCAGCACGAAGAAGUCCCGUAAUAUGAGUGCUGGCAGGGGGAGGCUGCAGGGGGCUUGGCUGGCUGGGGUAAUGAGGACAGGUGAGUCUGAAAGAACAUCUGAUUGGUCUUUGCAGUGAUGAGGUUGUGAGCAUUCACACCAGGUGGCCACUCUUCUCUGACAGUGUUCCCACUUGGUCUGUAAGUAAGGUCCAUCUAGUAAGGACUAGAUGUGUCGGCCAAGGCCAUACUGGUGAGAAGACAUCUGAUGCUGGCUUCAGCAUGUGACCUCUGGAAUAAGGCAGGUGUGGGCUCAAAUCCCAGCUUUAUCACUUGCCAAUGUCAUAGCCUUGGGGUUGUUAUUGAUCCCUCUGGGACAGGGCUAAUUAAAAGCACUGUUAUAAGGAUGCAUGAGAUAAUGUUGGCAAAGAGCACCCAUGGUUAUAACAGAUGAAGCCCAGGAAGGUCAUUCUCCCUGAUUGCACUGGCUACCUACAAUCAACUCCAUGACCACAGCCAUCUGCUCAGCCAUUAGUUUACUGGUCCCCACAUCCUUGUUUCUUAACUUCUAAAAUGUAUUGAGUCACAAACUCCUUUCAAAACCUGAUGAAAACUCUGCCUACUCCCUCCACGAAAAUCCAAGCAUACAUUUUGCAAGGGAUUUCAGAUGGUUCACAGAUACUCAAGUUGAGAAUCCCUGCUCUUGAGUUCAAGGCUGGUUUUAUAAGUGAAGUGUCAUUUUGCCAGUCACAGGCCAUAUGUGUGUGCAAUCCUACCUUAACAUUCUGAUUUGUGGAACUGACUUGGUACUUGAUACACACUGUACCCUAUGCAUUGACUGAUAGGUUAAGUAAGACCAUGACUCUGGCAUAGCCCACGAAACGCCUCUACUCAUUUCUGGCAGCUAUCUGGACAGCUUCUGAGCCUGCAACAAACCCUGCUGCUUGGAAUUUAGGGGACCCCUUCUCCUUUUUGUCUUGCUGAAACCAUCUUUCCACAGGGAGACAUCAAGUUAUGAUCUGGAUCUGACCUUCCCUAUAGUCCUGCCUCAUUGGGGGGGACCAGGUCAUUCCCCUGCUCCUGCUCCAGCUCUGGAUCUGCUUUAUUCUAUCAUCCCAUAACCCACCCUCCAGAUCCCUGGAAUCUACAGAAGAAGAUUUUACUGGUGUAGCCAAGUCCUUCCAGCCAGGCCACAACCUUUUUUUCAAUGGGUGGGUUUCUGCCUCAUAAAAUGCCUUCACGUGUAAGCUGGUCAUACUUUUCACUUUUCCAAACAGGCUUGUUUCCUCACUUCCUCCAUGGAGGGUUGGAUCAAUGUGCCAGGAUGAGGCAGGGAUUCUGAAUUCCCAGACAUUAUGGGGUUGAUUCUCCCCGAAAGGGCCAUCGCAGGCAUGUGAAAGGAGUCCAUACUGGAGGAGUUAGGGAUUGGGGUCUUCGUGAGCUAGUUGUGUAUCCUUGGGCUCUGUGGUUGGUCACCUUGGGUCAGUGGACUUGGUGCCUCUUUGUGGCUCCGUGGCAAACACCGGAGUUACCUGUGGACAAUGAACAGCAAAGGAACGUCAACACCACCGAACACGUGGCUGGCUCCAGAUCCUGGGGGCUCUUGUCCGGCAGGUCUGGGUGGGGCCUGCAGGCAUGUACUUUUUAGAAAGUUCACAGGGUCUUCUGACACAUGUGUCUGUUGGAGAGCCACCAGACCAGAAUGACGUCCAACAGAGCUCUUUCCAGGGGAGGGGCUGGUAAGUGACUUCCAAAACGUUUCUAAGGCUUGGAAAAACAGCAGUGAAGGAGUGACUCAGUGCUUGGGUCAUGCACAUUCUUCCCGAGUGAGGCUGAGCCACCCCAGAGCCCCUGCUCUGCACUCCCAUCUGCUGUUCCCCCAGACGCGUGACACCUCCUCCACUGGGCAGUGGGGCGGGGGGGAUGUUUUCAUGUUCGCUGGCCGGCCCUGGGCCUUCCAAGGGGUCAUUUGAGCCUGAGUAGGACUGUUAAAGAAAAAUAGCAGAGGGGAUGAAAAAUGGGCUUGAUUUCAAAGAAGUGUGUUUGCAGACAGGGGAGGGCAGGCUUCCCGGGCAGGCUUUGCCUCCGAGUGCUGAGUCACGACCCACCGCUGGCUCAGCACUGUUUCACAAUCAGCCUCGGGGUUCACUUGCAUCAGGCCCAUUCCAAGAAAAAGCCCAAGCCUGGCCUAGCAACGUGCUUUUUUGGUGUGUUAAACACAAAGAUGAAUUGUUCAAAAUAUGAGAGAAAACAGUCUUGAAAGUGUUAUGGGCGGGUUUCCUAAGAAUCCCUUGGAGAUUUUGGACCUCAUUUUUUUUUCUCUGAUUCUAUUACUUUGGAAUACAGUAGCCCAAACAGUUAGCUGCCCUGGAAAACAUUUAUCAAGCUCCUAGUUGCUCCCUGCCUGGUAUCUCAGGCAAACACCUGGGCCCUUCUCUGAGAAGCCCAAGGGAAGAUCACUGAUGAUCACGUGGGGGGACUGGAGACCCGCCUGGGGUCCAGUGUCCUGACGUGUCCAUGGUCUCUGCAGCUACUUGCUCUCCUGAAUGACACCUCCAGACCCACCUGGGCCUACCAAGCAAUGUCUUUCCACCUUACCUUUCGAGAUUCGGUCCCUCUGAACAGGAGUCUGUAGCUUCUGUUGAUAUCGGUGAGAAAGCAGCGCCAAAGGUUUCAUUAAAAUACGGACCGAGCAGGUGUACAGGUUAGAUGGUGACCGCUGAAAGGUACAUCCACACCCUGAUGACAAGUAUCUGGGAAUGUUACUUUAAUAAAAAAAUGGAGUUUAAGUAAAAUAUAUAAAAUUUAAGGAGAGUCUUUGAGGUGAAGAGAUUAUCAGUUUGUCUGAUAAGUCCUAAAUGCAGUGAGAAGUGUGCUUGUAGGGACGCCCAAAAGGCAGACUGGAGUGAGGUGACCACACGCCAAGGGAUGCCUGGGGCCACCAGAAGCUGGGCGAGGCAGGAGGGGCCCUCUCCCAGAGCCCAUGUAUGUGGCUCUGCUGCCAGCUUCACCUCACGCUCUGGCCUCCAGAACUGUGAGAAUUUCCGUUGUUUGAAGUCACUCCAUUUGUAGUAAUUUGUUAUGGCAGCCCCAGGAAAUGAAAACAAUGGGUGUGUGCACACACAUGCACACGCACACGCACACACACACACACCCUGGUGAGCGUGCUACACACACAAGACCUGGACUCUUGAUGGGAGCCAGAGGGCAGCUAGGAUGGAGGGUUCAGCAGACACCUGGACCAUCUCCUCUUGGAGCCUAUACCUCCCUACCACCCAGGCCCUGCAUUCUGCCCAGCAGAUGCCCACUUGUCAGCCUCAGUCUCCAGGUUGCUGCCCAGGAACGUCACAUCCUGCCCUCAGUUCUCUGCCUCGGCACACCCCCACAGCUAAAGGGACUCAGCUGGCUGGUCUGAGGUCCAUCGCCCUGACCCCUAGGCCACUCCCUGAGGGGGGGGUCACUGUCCUGUGGUUCCAGGGACUUUCUCCUUCUGGAACCAGCUCAGCCCUCCUGUCAUGUCUGCCUUUGAGGACCCCAGGCUGCCCCGAGUGGCCCCUGAUGUCUCACGGACUACAUGUCCCUGUCCCACAGCUAUCCUCUGAGCCUUUUUUUCCCCCUCCUUGAAAUAUGUUCUGUGUCUCCAUCCUUUAUCAUUUGGAUUUUAAGGAUGACUUGAGCCAUUUUGGAUUUUGAUGAAGAGUCUUGAUGAUUUUUCUUAUUCACUUUUAGGUAUUAGGGGAUGUCAAUGUUUCCUUCCUGAGACUGAAAGCGUGAAGGUUUUCAGCACAUUAUUACAGCUAUUAUUAUGUUCUGAAUGUUGUUCUGAGGGUAAUAAACCCUAAAUUUACCAUGACUAUUAUAUCUAGAAAACAGAUAUAAUACCUGGAGAUCAUGCAUUUUGUCACUAUUUUAUCUCCCAGCCUUUAGCGUUUGACAUUCUCUGAAAGGGUAUUUUCUUUUAAUACAGCUUUUGAUAAGACAGUUCUAGUUAGAACAAAUACUUCUUUUUUUAAAAAAAUUAUUUUUUAAAAUUUAUUUGAGGGAGAGAGAGAGAGCGUGAGAGAACACAAGUUGGGUGGGGGAACAGGCAGAGGGAAAGGGAUUGCAGACAUUCCACUAAGCAGGGAGCCCAGCUUGGGCUCCAUCCCAGGACCCCAGGAUCACGACCUGAGCUGAAGUCAGAUGCUUAACCGACUGAGCCACCCAGGGGCCCCUAGAAGAAAUACUCUAAAGAAAACUAGAGAGAUAAGUGAGUCAUGACUUCACAAGGGGCCAGGUGAACCAUAACUAUCUCUUUUCUGUUUCAUGUCAGCUCCUACCAUGGCUAUUAAUUGAGAAGAGUAUCCUGGAGUUCUGAUUGUUUUUUCUCCUUUAUGAGGGCAUAGGAAGACUUGUUUUAGUUGGGAUUGACCACUGUUAGCCUCACUAUGGCCCUCCUGUUCACAGCAAUGGGGAUUCUUUUCAUUCCAGUCUGAAAUUUAUCUUCUGAUUUUCUGCAUGCACUAAAUGCAUUCCCUUCAUCUCCUUCCCCAUCCAUCAUGGUGGAAUGCUCCAGUCAUGGGAUCUGAGGAGAAAGGUCAGAUGGGACACCUGUUGGACAUACUACUUUGUCAAAUAAUAACCAGAAAGAAAAUAAUUGAAAGAAGACAGACAGGAAUUCAUUACUAAUUAUAGAGGAAGGCCAUCUUGGCUUCAGAUGCAGAGUUCAAGAGAAGUAUAUUUGCGAAGUAAGUAGUAUUAAAAAAGUUUAUGUUUACAGGUUGGACAUAGUUCAUAUGUUCUCUGAGACUUCAGAAUUAUAAGCCAUCAAGGAGAUGCUAUGAGAGACCAAAAAUAAUUUUAUCUUUCAUCAUGGGUAGCUUCACUCUUAAAAUAAAGUCUUCCCAGCCGUGAUGUCAUUUAAUUACUAAUAAAAGCAAUUAUAUUCCCAUC
Long non-coding RNA from Mustela putorius furo (domestic ferret), 5606 nucleotides. The record is from Ensembl. NCBI's taxonomy places the organism in Eukaryota, Metazoa, Chordata, Mammalia, Carnivora, Mustelidae.